Long non-coding RNA from Belonocnema kinseyi, 510 nucleotides. RefSeq lists it as uncharacterized. The record is from RefSeq and is a predicted model, not a curated record. The transcript is spliced from 3 exons. NCBI's taxonomy places the organism in Eukaryota, Metazoa, Arthropoda, Insecta, Hymenoptera, Cynipidae.
GUCACAUUUGUGUGCAUAAAAGAACUAACAAAAAUGUAAAGUUGAAUCUUGCUAAACAUCCGAUUCGAAGGAGGUUCCUAUGGUGACCUCAUAUUAUCGAAUAAGUUCGUAAAAGAAGAACCGGAAACUUAGCGAAUCUGUGAACCUUCUGGGUACGAAAACCGUUUGCUUCAAGACGCUCCAUUUCCGCUCAAGCACCGUCUUACAUCAUUUCCGGCGCAAGAUGGAAUAUCGCUUCUAAAUCAAAUCAAGACUAUUCGCGAAUUGCCUAUCGACUGCGCGUCUCUUCACUGAUAUCAGCUUUUAUCAACGAUUUACCGUCGAUUAAUCUUCUCAUAUCUCCCAGGGUUUCUAGAGGUCAUGAAAAGGCGGGGAAUUUAAACUGAUCAGGCAAAGUCAAGAAAUUUAAGACUGGCCACGUAAAGUCAAGAAAUGUCUGAGAAACUCGCACUGAGUCAAGCAAUUUUUGAUAAACCGAAGUUAAAGUUAAUUUUAUUAUUUUCUUGACAA